GACAGAGGGGGCAAGCGUUGCUCGGAAUUACUGGGCGUAAAGGGCGCGUAGGCGGGAUGGCAAGUCGGUCGUGAAAUCCCUCGGCUCAACUGAGGAUCGUCGAUCGAUACUGCCGUUCUUGAGGAUUGCAGAGGAGACUGGAAUUCCCGGUGUAGCGGUGAAAUGCGCAGAUAUCAGGAGGAACACCGGUGGCGAAGGCGGGUCUCUGGACCGAUACUGACGCUGAGGAGCGAAAGCGUGGGGAGCGAACAGG
This 253-nucleotide ribosomal RNA is filed under the name uncultured bacterium. RNAcentral describes it as "partial 16S ribosomal RNA". It matches the Rfam family "Bacterial small subunit ribosomal RNA", at positions 524 to 776 of the family's 1533-position model. The record is from RNAcentral.